Molecule: ribosomal RNA, 1384 nt
Filed under: metagenome
Description: bacterial SSU rRNA
Rfam family: Bacterial small subunit ribosomal RNA
Source: RNAcentral
GUUUGAUCCUGGCUCAGGAUGAACGCUGGCGGCGUGCUUAACACAUGCAAGUCGAACGAACCUUCGGGUUAGUGGCGGACGGGUGAGUAACGCGUGGGAAUCUGCCCUCAGGAGGGGGAUAACGGCUGGAAACGGCCGCUAAUACCCCAUAUGCCGAGAGGUGAAAUGAAUUUCGCCUGAGGAUGAGCCCGCGUCUGAUUAGCUAGUUGGUGGGGUAAGAGCCUACCAAGGCAUCGAUCAGUAGCUGGUCUGAGAGGAUGAUCAGCCACACUGGGACUGAGACACGGCCCAGACUCCUACGGGAGGCAGCAGUGGGGAAUUUUCCGCAAUGGGCGAAAGCCUGACGGAGCAACGCCGCGUGAGGGAUGAAGGCCUCUGGGCUGUAAACCUCUUUUCUCAAGGAAGAAGACCUGACGGUACUUGAGGAAUAAGCCACGGCUAAUUCCGUGCCAGCAGCCGCGGUAAUACGGGAGUGGCAAGCGUUAUCCGGGAUUAUUGGGCGUAAAGCGUCCGCAGGCGGCUCUGUAAGUCUGUCGUCAAAGCGUGGAGCUCAACUCCAUUUCGGCGGUGGAAACUACAGGGCUUGAGUGUGGUAGGGGCAGAGGGAAUUCCCGGUGUAGCGGUGAAAUGCGUAGAUAUCGGGAAGAACACCAGUGGCGAAGGCGCUCUGCUGGGCCAUAACUGACGCUCAUGGACGAAAGCCAGGGGAGCGAAAGGGAUUAGAUACCCCUGUAGUCCUGGCCGUAAACGAUGAACACUAGGUGUCGGGGGAAUCGACCCCCUCGGUGUCGUAGCCAACGCGUUAAGUGUUCCGCCUGGGGAGUACGCACGCAAGUGUGAAACUCAAAGGAAUUGACGGGGGCCCGCACAAGCGGUGGAGUAUGUGGUUUAAUUCGAUGCAACGCGAAGAACCUUACCAGGGUUUGACAUCCUGCGAAUCCCCUGGAAACGGGGGAGUGCCUUCGGGAGCGCAGAGACAGGUGGUGCAUGGCUGUCGUCAGCUCGUGUCGUGAGAUGUUGGGUUAAGUCCCGCAACGAGCGCAACCCACGUCUUUAGUUGCCAGCAUACAGUUGGGCACUCUAGAGAGACCGCCGGUGAUAAACCGGAGGAAGGUGUGGAUGACGUCAAGUCAUCAUGCCCCUUACAUCCUGGGCUACACACGUACUACAAUGCUACGGACAAAGGGCAGCAAGCUCGCGAGAGUUAGCAGGUCCCAUAAACCGUGGCUCAGUUCAGAUCGUAGGCUGCAACUCGCCUACGUGAAGGAGGAAUCGCUAGUAAUCGCAGGUCAGCAUACUGCGGUGAAUACGUUCCCGGGCCCUGUACACACCGCCCGUCACACCAUGGAAGUUGGCCAUGCCCGAAGUCGUUACUCCAACCCUU